This 20-nucleotide unclassified non-coding RNA is filed under the name Chlamydomonas reinhardtii. RNAcentral's name for it is "small RNA Cre_1149". Lineage: Eukaryota; Viridiplantae; Chlorophyta; Chlorophyceae; Chlamydomonadales; Chlamydomonadaceae. The record is from RNAcentral.
CCUCGUCGUCCAGGCCCCGG